This 455-nucleotide long non-coding RNA is filed under the name Elaeis guineensis (African oil palm). RNAcentral's name for it is "long non-coding RNA (EGUI_LNC004157)". The record is from RNAcentral. Lineage: Eukaryota; Viridiplantae; Streptophyta; Magnoliopsida; Arecales; Arecaceae.
GAGGUACAGAAAAUAAAUCAAGCAGUUAAUCUCUCCCAUCUAGUCAACCAAUCUAAAUUCUGGAUAUUUUGAUGUGAGGACCCCUAACAGGCAAGCUACAGGACUCCAAAUUGAGCAAGAUUAGAUCCUACAAAAUUUUGAGAGAAGCAAAAAAGAAACAUAAUUUACAUAAUUGAAUUUGGAUUCCAGAUGAGGUGGCUACAAUAGGUUGAAGUUGGUAACAAUGUUGGACACAACAAGAAACACCCGAUACACCCAGAUUCUUCUUAGUGUUUCUUGGCACAAAGAUCUGAUAUGGCAAUCAAUUUUGAGUGGCAAAGAGCUAUCUUGGAAAGAAUUAAAUGAAAGAAAAUCAGAGUCCAAACUAAUUCUGCAUGAGGAGCAAACUUAGAAAGAAUUGGAACCAAUUCUUGAAAAACUUGAUUUGGGCAGCCGAAACCUUACUUUGUUUUGCA